UAUUGUUCUCAUUUCAUUACCAAAGAUAAGUCUGAGUGCAUUUAGGACCAGAGCCCACUGCUGCCGGCAUCUUUUUCAAAUAGACUGAGCUACGUUCAAAAGGUAGACCAUUAUAUAAUUUGCGAAGAAUGAAUGUUUCAGUGGGUAAAUAAGGAGGCUCAUUCCUUCCAACAGGGGAUACAUCCAGGAGAACAACAUAUGCCUGAGUAAAACACAGCUUCAUCACUAAUUCAAGCAAGCUCUUUGGCAGCAUCACCACAUCGGAUCCACCAGCUUACCAGGCUAAAAAUGCCACUUUUUGGCUGGAUGAAAUGGCCAAAAUAUGAUUCCUACAAACCUACACACUAUCCUGGCUCCGACGUAGUGACAAAGACUCUGCUUCGGGAAUUAAAGUGGCACCUGAAGGAGCGAGAGAGAUUAAUACAGGAGAUCGAAAAUGAACAAAAAGUUAAAAAAACAGGUGUGGAUUACAACUGGCUGAGAAACUACCAGAAUCUCCACACGACCAUCCCAGCUACGGAACAAAGACAACUUGAAGUCCUUUGCUCACAAGUUCAGCCUUGUCAAACUGGAACUAUUCUCAGCAGAUUUCGAGAAGUUUUAGCAGAAAAUGAUGUACUGCCAUGGGAAAUAGUUUACAUCUUCAAGCAAGUUCUGAAAGACUUCCUAAACAGUACUAACAAAGGUAACCAGCAAGAAGGCGCGGAAGAGUCAGGGAACACAGACUGUCCUGUUCCUUCUGUGAUCCUGGGCACAAGCUCCAGGGGUUCCAAUAAAGACGAAAUACCCACGAUUUCUAGUUACGUGGACAAAACCACAAAGAACAGGUUCCCAGCAUUCUCGCAUAGAAUAUGGAACCUACCAUAUUAUUACCCAUCAAGUUAAGUCACUUAUAACCAGAGAAGUUUUUAUGGCCAUCUUUAGAAGCAGAACUCUUAAUAUUAAGAAUACAAAAAAGUAAUGUGAUUUCAUGUUUCUCUGUUGCAAAGUCAGAUGUUAAGUAGUUUUUAACUAUGCAUCCUAUGUUUCAAAUAGUGUUCCUUUUUUAUCCGCUCUAAAAAUGCAAUGUUUUAUUGAACUGUAUACUUUUAACUAAAAUGAUUCCUAAAGACUGAAAAACACAUUUGAAGUAUUUUCUUAGACUUCAAACACAUCUCACAGGAACAAGUAUGGAACUGGACAAAUUCUGUGUGAAAAUUAGACAUUAACCUUGACUUUUAUUCCGAAAGGAAGCUAUGUAUAGAAUAAAAUAAAUGAUUGAUGUGAAUCUUGCUUUUACAAUAUAAC
This is an RNA transcript of Zalophus californianus (California sea lion), 1287 nucleotides long. It is a transcript of the gene named retinal degeneration 3 like, with no coding region annotated. NCBI's taxonomy places the organism in Eukaryota, Metazoa, Chordata, Mammalia, Carnivora, Otariidae. The transcript is spliced from 4 exons. The record is from RefSeq and is a predicted model, not a curated record.